CCUACGGGCGGCAGCAGUAGGGAAUUUUCGGCAAUGGGGGGAACCCUGACCGAGCAACGCCGCGUGAACGAAGAAGUUCUUCGUAAUGUAAAGUUCUUUUAACAGGGAAGAAAGAGAAAUUUGACGGUACCUGAAGAUUAAGCUCCGGCUAACUACGUGCCAGCAGCCGCGGUAAUACGUAGGGAGCGAGCGUUAUCCGGAAUUAUUGGGCGUAAAGGGUGGGUAGAUGGCAUAGUAAGUCUGUUGUAAAAAUGCUGGGCUAAACCCAGUAGGGCAAAAGAAACUGCAAAGCUAGAGUAUGACAGAGGAGAGUGGAACUACAUGUGUAGCGGUAAAAUGCGUAGAUAUAUGUAAGAACACCAGUGGCGAAGGCGGCUUGCUGGGUCGAUACUGACGUUGAGGCACGAAAGCGUGGGGAGCAAACAGGAUUAGAUACCCCUGUAGUC
RNAcentral lists this ribosomal RNA (446 nucleotides) under uncultured bacterium. RNAcentral describes it as "partial 16S ribosomal RNA". It matches the Rfam family "Bacterial small subunit ribosomal RNA", at positions 338 to 795 of the family's 1533-position model. The record is from RNAcentral.